GACGAACGCUGGCGGCGUGCUUAACACAUGCAAGUCGAGCGGUAAGGCUCCUUCGGGAGUACACGAGCGGCGAACGGGUGAGUAACACGUGAGUAAUCUGCCCCUCACUUCGGGAUAAGCCUCGGAAACGAGGUCUAAUACCGGAUACGACCACUUCUCGCAUGAGAUGGUGGUGGAAAGUUUUUCGGUGGGGGAUGUGCUCGCGGCCUAUCAGCUUGUUGGUGGGGUAAUGGCCUACCAAGGCUUCGACGGGUAGCCGGCCUGAGAGGGUGACCGGCCACACUGGGACUGAGACACGGCCCAGACUCCUACGGGAGGCAGCAGUGGGGAAUAUUGGACAAUGGGCGAAAGCCUGAUCCAGCAACGCCGCGUGAGGGAUGACGGCCUUCGGGUUGUAAACCUCUUUCAGCGGGGACGAAGCGCAAGUGACGGUACCCGCAGAAGAAGCACCGGCCAACUACGUGCCAGCAGCCGCGGUAA
Molecule: ribosomal RNA, 480 nt
Filed under: uncultured bacterium
Lineage: Bacteria
Description: partial 16S ribosomal RNA
Rfam family: Bacterial small subunit ribosomal RNA
Source: RNAcentral